Molecule: transfer RNA, 79 nt
Filed under: Leifsonia xyli subsp. xyli str. CTCB07
Lineage: Bacteria; Bacillati; Actinomycetota; Actinomycetes; Micrococcales; Microbacteriaceae
Description: tRNA-Val
Rfam family: tRNA
About the family: Transfer RNA (tRNA) molecules are approximately 80 nucleotides in length. Their secondary structure includes four short double-helical elements and three loops (D, anti-codon, and T loops). Further hydrogen bonds mediate the characteristic L-shaped molecular structure. tRNAs have two regions of fundamental functional importance: the anti-codon, which is responsible for specific mRNA codon recognition, and the 3' end, to which the tRNAs corresponding amino acid is attached (by aminoacyl-tRNA synthetases). tRNAs cope with the degeneracy of the genetic code in two manners: having more than one tRNA (with a specific anti-codon) for a particular amino acid; and 'wobble' base-pairing, i.e. permitting non-standard base-pairing at the 3rd anti-codon position.
Source: RNAcentral
GGGCGAUUGGCGCAGUUGGUAGCGCGCUUCCUUCACACGGAAGAGGUCAUCGGUUCGAGUCCGGUAUCGCCCACCACAC